Molecule: ribosomal RNA, 516 nt
Filed under: uncultured Staphylococcus sp.
Lineage: Bacteria; Bacillati; Bacillota; Bacilli; Caryophanales; Staphylococcaceae
Description: bacterial SSU rRNA
Rfam family: Bacterial small subunit ribosomal RNA
Source: RNAcentral
AGAGUUUGAUCCUGGCUCAGGAUGAACGCUGGCGGCGUGCCUAAUACAUGCAAGUCGAGCGAACAGAUAAGGAGCUUGCUCCUUUGAAGUUAGCGGCGGACGGGUGAGUAACACGUGGGUAACCUACCUAUAAGACUGGGAUAACUUCGGGAAACCGGAGCUAAUACCGGAUAACAUUUAGAACCGCAUGGUUCUAAAGUGAAAGAUGGUUUUGCUAUCACUUAUAGAUGGACCCGCGCCGUAUUAGCUAGUUGGUAAGGUAACGGCUUACCAAGGCGACGAUACGUAGCCGACCUGAGAGGGUGAUCGGCCACACUGGAACUGAGACACGGUCCAGACUCCUACGGGAGGCAGCAGUAGGGAAUCUUCCGCAAUGGGCGAAAGCCUGACGGAGCAACGCCGCGUGAGUGAUGAAGGGUUUCGGCUCGUAAAACUCUGUUAUUAGGGAAGAACAAAUGUGUAAGUAACUGUGCACAUCUUGACGGUACCUAAUCAGAAAGCCACGGCAACUACGUG